Molecule: ribosomal RNA, 666 nt
Filed under: Hepatozoon canis
Lineage: Eukaryota; Apicomplexa; Hepatozoidae
Description: bacterial SSU rRNA
Rfam family: Eukaryotic small subunit ribosomal RNA
Source: RNAcentral
AUACAUGAGCAAAAUCUCAACUUUAUUAGAAGAGACGCAUUUAUUAGAUAAAAAGCCAAUGCAUGCUUUUACAGUAUGGAAAUUGGUGAUUUAUAAUAACUUGGCAAAUCGCAAAGUGAAAACAGGCGAUAAAUCAUUCAAGUUUCUGACCUAUCAGCUUUCGACGGUAUGGUAUUGGCUUACCGUGGCAGUGACGGUUAACGGGGGAUUAGGGUUCGAUUCCGGAGAGGGAGCCUGAGAAACGGCUACCACAUCUAAGGAAGGCAGCAGGCGCGCAAAUUACCCAAUUCUAACAGUUUGAGAGAGGUAGUAACAAGAAAUAACAAUACAAGGCAAUUAAAAUGUUUUGUAAUUGGAAUGAUAGAAAUUUAAACCCUUUUUAAAGUAUCAAUUGGAGGGCAAGUCUGGUGCCAGCAGCCGCGGUAAUUCCAGCUCCAAUAGCGUAUAUUAAAAUUGUUGCAGUUAAAAAGCUCGUAGUUGAAGUUCUGCUAAAAGUAACCGGUCUGCUUUUAAUAAAAGUGGUAUCUUGGUGUGUAUUUAGCAAUGAUGUCCUUUGAAGUGUUUUUUACUUUAUUGUAAUAAAGCAUAUUCAGGACUUUUACUUUGAGAAAAUUAGAGUGUUUCUAGCAGGCCGACGCUUUGAAUACUGCAGCAUGGAAUAAUAAG